UGUUCGCCCAUUAAAGCGGUACGCGAGCUGGGUUCAGAACGUCGUGAGACAGUUCGGUCCCUAUCCGUCGUGGGCGUAGGAAAUUUGAGAGGAGCUGUCCUUAGUACGAGAGGACCGGGAUAGACAUACCUCUGGUGUACCAGUUGUCGUGCCAACGGCAUAGCUGGGUAGCUAUGUAUGGACGGGAUAAGUGCUGAAAGCAUCUAAGCAUGAAGCCCCCCUCAAGA
RNAcentral lists this ribosomal RNA (227 nucleotides) under Staphylococcus epidermidis. RNAcentral describes it as "partial 23S ribosomal RNA". It matches the Rfam family "Bacterial large subunit ribosomal RNA", at positions 2578 to 2804 of the family's 2925-position model. Lineage: Bacteria; Bacillati; Bacillota; Bacilli; Caryophanales; Staphylococcaceae. The record is from RNAcentral.